CUGAAUUCAGUACCAAAUUGCAGCUACCUAUGGAGAAAUAUGCAUUGGAGUUCAAAGUGCUGCCCAAUCAUCUCAAAAAUGCAAACAUAAGGGCCAGAAGCACACCUCACCUGAAAGAAGAGAAGCUAAUCAUAUUACUUCAUGAGUACAUGAAAGAAAUAGGAUGGGUGAUGACCAAAUCAAAAGGCGUGCUACACUUUAUACUUAAU
RNAcentral lists this long non-coding RNA (209 nucleotides) under Manihot esculenta (cassava). RNAcentral's name for it is "long non-coding RNA (MESC_LNC006522)". The record is from RNAcentral. Lineage: Eukaryota; Viridiplantae; Streptophyta; Magnoliopsida; Malpighiales; Euphorbiaceae.